RNAcentral lists this microRNA (20 nucleotides) under Chiloscyllium plagiosum (whitespotted bambooshark). RNAcentral's name for it is "microRNA PC-5p-439071_1". Lineage: Eukaryota; Metazoa; Chordata; Chondrichthyes; Orectolobiformes; Hemiscylliidae. The record is from RNAcentral.
CUCUCUCUCUCUCGCGCGCC